GCAGGCAGAUCCUCUUCGGAGGUGACGCCUGUGGAACGAGCGGCGGACGGGUGAGUAACACGUGGGCAACCUGCCUGUAAGAUUGGGAUAACCCCGGGAAACCGGGGCUAAUACCGGAUAAUACUUUUCGUUGCAUAACGAGAAGUUGAAAGGCGGCUUUUAGCUGUCACUUACAGAUGGGCCCGCGGCGCAUUAGCUAGUUGGUAAGGUAACGGCUUACCAAGGCGACGAUGCGUAGCCGACCUGAGAGGGUGAUCGGCCACACUGGGACUGAGACACGGCCCAGACUCCUACGGGAGGCAGCAGUAGGGAAUCUUCCGCAAUGGACGAAAGUCUGACGGAGCAACGCCGCGUGAGUGAUGAAGGUUUUCGGAUCGUAAAACUCUGUUGUCAGGGAAGAACAAGUGCCGUUCAAAUAGGGCGGCACCUUGACGGUACCUGACCAGAAAGCCCCGGCUAACUACGUGCCAGCAGCCGCGGUAAUACGUAGGGGGCAAGCGUUGUCCGGAAUUAUUGGGCGUAAAGCGCGCGCAGGCGGUCCUUUAAGUCUGAUGUGAAAGCCCACGGCUUAACCGUGGAGGGCCAUUGGAAACUGGAGGACUUGAGUACAGAAGAGGAGAGUGGAAUUCCACGUGUAGCGGUGAAAUGCGUAGAGAUGUGGAGGAACACCAGUGGCGAAGGCGACUCUCUGGUCUGUAAC
This 700-nucleotide ribosomal RNA is filed under the name Virgibacillus salarius. RNAcentral describes it as "bacterial SSU rRNA". It matches the Rfam family "Bacterial small subunit ribosomal RNA", at positions 57 to 740 of the family's 1533-position model. Lineage: Bacteria; Bacillati; Bacillota; Bacilli; Caryophanales; Bacillaceae. The record is from RNAcentral.